GAUGUCAAGAGCCCUGGAUUAAUAAGACCUAGAAACACUUCACAAUCACAAAGAUUACUUUGACCAUUGCCCACACUUGCCAAAAAAUGUCAAGUCCGCUUGGUUAGCUGAGUGGCUCUGUGAAUGAGGCCAAGGUCAUAAGUUCGAAGGAGGGGGGACCUUCACGUGGCAAGGUUGACCAGGAAGCGCUGCCACAUUAUCUAAAGCCCGCUACUUCCCAUCCACAGACAUUUGCUAAUUGGGCCGGGUCCUCUUCGCGGGCAGAGGGCCGGGAAGCCCCCACCUCCGGCCGCCCGCGUGUCCUCCCCUCCUCCGUCGCGCGGGCCCGGCGAGGGUCAGCCUGGCACAGCGGCUCCAAGUACCACACCGCCGGACCGAACCAGGAGCCAUAUUUAGCUGUAUUUUUUGGUCAAUAAAACAAACUUCCGUCUUCUAAAGAAAAACGGUCCCAACUCAAUGUCAAACUAGGACGGAAACUCGAGGCUCGCCGCAGCUGCCAACCAGAGACGCCGCGUGUCCAGCAGCCCCCGAGUCCCCGACCCGGACCCCGCGCCUCGCGCGCCCGCGCCCCGGCCACGGCCGCGCCGGCCACAAAGGGACGGGAGACGCGGACGCGGCCGGGCCUCUCCGCCUCCUCCCGCCCCGAGCCAGCGGCCGCGGCUCCGGGACGGCCCGGGCGCGAGCGGACACUCACCUCGCUCCGCGCGCGGCGGCGGCGGCAGCGGGCGCUCCUCGAGGCCGGCCCCGGCGGUCGCGGCGCGGUCCCGCGGGCCGCAGCGCGGGCGCUACUCUCGGGCCGCCGUCCGCCGCGCCGCCUUCUCGGCCACUGCCGGCGGCUCCCCCGGCGAGCGGGCGGGCCCGGCGCGGGCCCCGCCUCCGCCGCGCCCGCCC
This is a long non-coding RNA of Bos taurus (domestic cattle), 891 nucleotides long. The record is from Ensembl. NCBI's taxonomy places the organism in Eukaryota, Metazoa, Chordata, Mammalia, Artiodactyla, Bovidae.